Molecule: ribosomal RNA, 392 nt
Filed under: uncultured bacterium
Lineage: Bacteria
Description: partial 16S ribosomal RNA
Rfam family: Bacterial small subunit ribosomal RNA
Source: RNAcentral
AUACGGAGGAUCCGAGCGUUAUCCGGAUUUAUUGGGUUUAAAGGGUGCGCAGGCGGCCCUUUAAGUCAGCGGUUAAAUCGUGGGGCUCAACCCCAUUCUGCCGUUGAUACUGGGUGGCUUGAUUGCGGUCGAGGUUGGCGUACUUCGUUGUGUAGCGGUGAAAUGCAUAGAUAUGACGAAGAACACCGAUUGCGUAGGCAGCUGACCAGACCGCAAAUGACGCUCAUGCACGAAAGUGCGGGGAUCGAACAGGAUUAGAUACCCUGGUAGUCCGCACAGUAAACGAUGAAUACUUGUUUUCGGCGAUAUAAUGUCGGAGGCAAAGCGAAAGCGAUAAGUAUUCCACCUGGGGAGUACGCCGGCAACGGUGAAACUUAAAGGAAUUGACGGGG